This is an RNA transcript of Quercus lobata, 3616 nucleotides long. It is a transcript of the gene named JmjC domain protein JMJ24, with no coding region annotated. The record is from RefSeq and is a predicted model, not a curated record. NCBI's taxonomy places the organism in Eukaryota, Viridiplantae, Streptophyta, Magnoliopsida, Fagales, Fagaceae. The transcript is spliced from 14 exons.
UGUUUUAGAAUUUUGCUGGUACCGACCUGGUUAUUGCACUAACACACAGUGUCUGGAAAACCCAGAGGCAGAGAAGUUAAAAAGAGAGCAGAAAACAUGAAAAGCAAAUUAAAAAAAACAGAAAACAAAAAAACAAAGAAAACAAAAGAAGCCGGAGACCAAAAGGGUCAUAGGCUCAUAGCUAUUUGGACUGAUUAGCCAGAGAAAACAGGAAUUACACAAUUCUUAAAAUUCCCAAAUUUCCUUUUUCCCCUUUUCCUUAAAAGGGUUCUUCGUUUUAGUACUUUCUUCUCUGUACUUGGCGUCAAACCCUAGUUUCAGGUGUUAAAGGAUUAUUUGCAGGUUGAUCUUAUCAGUCUAAUGCUCUGCAUGUUAUAUCACGGUUGGAGUUUACCAUAACAUGAGUACGAUGGAUCAUCCACGAUCAUCCUCUGCAAAUGCUGAGGAUAAUGUUGGAAUUCCAGAUGAUUUGCGUUGCAAGAGGUCAGAUGGGAAACAAUGGAGAUGCACUGCCAUGUCGAUGCCAGAUAAGACAGUAUGUGAGAAGCACUACAUCCAGGCAAAGAAGAGGGCGGCUAAUUCUGCAAUGAGAGCUAACUUAAAGAAAGCCAAGAGGAAGUCGUUAGGUGAAAGUGAUAUUUACUUGGAGAGUAAGAGUGAUGAAUAUGAUACACCGCCUGUGAACACAAAAGUUGAAGAUUAUCCUGUUCCAGCCUCAGGGAAAAUGUUGUUUGAGAAGGUAUCCAAGAAUCAGUUUCGCUAUUCACCUGAGACAGCAACGAUGAGGAGUUUGGCCGCACGUAAUCCUCAAAAGACAAAUGAAAAUUCACAAAGAGAUGCUGGACAUUUUGAAGAAAACUGGAGGUCUCACAAGACACCACCAACUUCGGGCAUGGACUCAUCUAAGAGUAGAUCACAAAGGAGCUUUGAUGCUAAUGAUGCUAUGACGGAGGACUCUGAUGGAAGUACAGAUUCCUCUGAAGAAGCCGGUGGGCAACCUUGCCACCAAUGCCGGAGGAAUGAUAGAGAUAAAGUUACUUGGUGCCUUAAAUGUGAUAGGAGAGGAUAUUGUGAUAGCUGUAUCUCCACAUGUUACUCAGAUAUUCCAUUGGAAGAAAUUCAGAGAAGUUGCCCUGCAUGCCGGGGUACUUGUAGUUGCAAAGUGUGCUUGCGUUCAGAUAAUUCAAUAAAGGUUAGAAUACGUGAAAUACCUGUUCUAGACAAAUUGAAAUAUCUUCACUGCCUAUUAUCUUCGGUGCUUCCAGUAGUUAAGCAAAUCCAUCAUGAGCAGGCUUCUGAAGUAGAACUACAAAAAAAGUUGAAUGGGAAAGAACUAUUUCUUGCCAGGACAAAAGUGAAUGCAGAUGAGCAGAUGUGCUGCAAUUUCUGUAGGAUACCCAUUACAGAUUAUCAUCGGCGUUGUGCCAGUUGCACGUAUGAUCUGUGCCUUAGUUGCUGUCAAGAUCUUCGGGAAGCAUCUCAAAAUGAUGUUAAAGGAGAAUUGGCAGAUAAUCAGAUCCGUGGCAAAAGUCAAGACAAAGCAACUGCGACAGGGCAAGUGAAAGUAUCCAAACUAAAACUAAUUUUACCGGAAAAGUUUCCUGGUUGGCAAGCCAAUAGUGAUGGGAGUAUUCCAUGCCCCCCACCAGAGUUUGGUGGCUGUGGUCACUCAUCAUUAAAUUUAAGCCGCAUUUUUAAGAUGAACUGGGUUGCAAAACUGGUAAAAAAUGUGGAGGAAAUGGUUAGUGGGUGUAGGAUAUAUGAUGCUGGCAGCCUAGAAAAUACUGGGUUGGAUGAUCCUAGACUCUGCCAAUAUGCUCAUAGAGAAGACAGUGAUGAUAAUUUCUUGUACUGCCCUGCAACUCAAGAUAUUAAAUCUGAUGGGAUUGGAAAUUUUAGAAAGCACUGGGCCAGGGGUGAACCUAUUAUUGUCAAACAGGUGUUUGAUAGCCCAUCAACUUCAAGCUGGGAUCCGAUGGUUAUAUGGAGAGGGAUUCAGGAGACAGCAGACGAGAAAACAAAAGAUGAGAACCGAGUGGUGAAGGCCAUAGAUUGCUUUGACUGUUCUGAGGUUGACAUUGAACUUGGUCAGUUCAUCAAAGGAUAUUCUGAUGGACGAAUUCUUGAAAAUGGUCAGCCAGAAAUGUUGAAGUUGAAGGAUUGGCCUUCCCCCAGUGCAUCUGAAGAGUUCUUAUUGUACCAGAGACCUGAUUUUAUCAGUAAACUGCCCUUACUUGAGUAUAUCCACUCCAAGUGGGGUCUUCUAAAUGUUGCUGCAAAAUUGCCUCAUUAUUCCUUACAGAAUGAUGUAGGACCUAAAAUUUUUAUUUCUUAUGGGACCUAUGAAGAACUUGGUAGAGGCGAUCCAGUGACCAAUCUUCAUUUCAAUAUGCGUGACAUGGUAUACCUAUUGGUGCAUACUUGUAAUGUGAAUCUACAAGGCCAGCAGAGUGUAAAGAUUGAAAAGAUACAAAAAUCCUUUGAGGAUUCUGAGAUGAAAGAAUCACCGGAGGAUCCACAAGCAGAUUUGGAUGAGGAAGGGUCCCCUGAUAUAUUGCUUGGUAGUCAAUUUGUGCAGAAUGAAUGUGGUGCAAAAGUGGAUGAAAAUGAAAAUGAGUCAAUGCUGGAUCAGGGGAUUGAAACUGCUGAUGUUAAAGAGAAUAAUGUCAAUUGUGAAACAUCAAACAGAGAGGGUGAAGAUGUCCCUGAAAGGAGUGAUCCUGGAGUUCUAUGGGAUGUUUUUCGCCGGCAUGAUGUCCCAAAGGUGACUGAUUAUUUAAGAAUUCACUGGAAAGAAUUUGGGAAGCCUGAUGGAGUAUCAAAUGAUUUAGUGAAAAGGCAUCUUUAUGAAGAAACGGUAUUCCUGAAUGGGCAUCAUAAAAGAAAGCUGAAGGAAGAAUUUGGUAAGGAUAAGUAACAAUUGAUGUUCCUAAUUAUUGAUCAAGCUUUGGAGACAGAAUACUUCUUUUGACCUGAGAUGCAUGUUUGAGAUGUGUAGAACUUUUCAACAUGACUAUUUACUGGAUUAUUUGGGGAGUUGAGCCAUGGUCAUUUGAACAGCAUUUGGGGCAAGCUAUAUUUGUCCCUGCAGGAUGCCCUUUCCAAGUGAGAAAUCUCCAGUCCAAUGUUCAGUUGGGGCUUGAUUUCUUAUCUCCUGAAAGUCUGGGGGAGGCUGUAAGGUUGGCUGAAGAAAUCCGCUGUCUCCCUAAUGACCAAGAAGCAAACCUGCAGGUGUUGGAGGUUGGAAAGAUAUCGCUUUACGCAGCAAGUUCAGCUAUUAAAGAAGUCCAGAAAUUGGUUCUUGAUCCAAAACUUGGUGCAGAGCUUGGAUUUGAAGAUCCUAACUUGACUGCAAUGGUUUCUGAGAACAUGGAGAAGAUGAUUAAGAGAAGACAGAUAACUUGUGCUUGAAUGUGUACAGUAAUUGUAAUUUAGGUAUAGGAAGUCUAAUGUUUCAGGAGCAAAUAUCAAUUAUAUAUGUAUUAUAUGUAAUUUUUAACCAUCCCUACAACCUGAGCUGGUCUGAUUUUAGACAUUGGUGCUGCAUUUAAUGAGAACCAUUAUAGUUUAGAAGAAAAUGAAAAGCAAAAUAUGUUGUUGAAUUAGUUUUGUAGUA